GCUGGUGUGGCUCAGCCGGUAGAGCAGCUGAUUCGUAAUCAGCAGGUCAGGAGUUCGAGUCUCCUCAGUAGCUCCA
This 76-nucleotide transfer RNA is filed under the name Clostridia bacterium. RNAcentral's name for it is "tRNA-Thr". It matches the Rfam family "tRNA". Rfam says of the family: Transfer RNA (tRNA) molecules are approximately 80 nucleotides in length. Their secondary structure includes four short double-helical elements and three loops (D, anti-codon, and T loops). Further hydrogen bonds mediate the characteristic L-shaped molecular structure. tRNAs have two regions of fundamental functional importance: the anti-codon, which is responsible for specific mRNA codon recognition, and the 3' end, to which the tRNAs corresponding amino acid is attached (by aminoacyl-tRNA synthetases). tRNAs cope with the degeneracy of the genetic code in two manners: having more than one tRNA (with a specific anti-codon) for a particular amino acid; and 'wobble' base-pairing, i.e. permitting non-standard base-pairing at the 3rd anti-codon position. The record is from RNAcentral. Lineage: Bacteria; Bacillati; Bacillota; Clostridia.